UGAACUUUCAAUAACUCCUGCCUCUUUUCAGAAAGCUGCAACUCCACCGCCUUCUGCUGUUCUGACCGUUGCUUAACCUUGAUUUAAUUUCAACAGGUGAAAUAAGGGGGACGAUAAUUUGCAUUAGAGUCAACAUCAGUCAUGACAUUUUUGAGCUAGAGACCUACUUUUUCAGCUCAAAGAUCUAAAUCUAAAAAGCAGAGGAAUUUCAAGGUUGAUAUUCAAACUAAGGGCUGAAUUGAAUUACUGGACAGUUAGAACACAGCAUUUUGCAUUCAUAUUCUAAAUGUUAGGCUUCAGAAAGAAAAGCCAUUUAUCCGAAACUGCCUUUAGAUAGAGAGGAUAUCAAGAAAGGAGAUACAAUGAAGAAAUGUAUACAUCAUCAAAAUAGUGUGACACUUAAAAUCAUACAAACUGAUGUGCUCAACUGGAUAAUGGAUGUAAAGUGAAAAGGUCAAAAGAAGUGCCUUAGGCAGGAGGAGCUGCAGGAACCACUCAAACAUGUAUCAAAGUUACUAGUGCAGAAGGUGGGGAGAAGGGAAUGUAAACCAAAAGGAAAAUGUAAUAAAUAAAACUCUGGUUUU
This is a long non-coding RNA of Podarcis raffonei (Aeolian wall lizard), 584 nucleotides long. RefSeq lists it as uncharacterized. The transcript is spliced from 2 exons. The record is from RefSeq and is a predicted model, not a curated record. NCBI's taxonomy places the organism in Eukaryota, Metazoa, Chordata, Lepidosauria, Squamata, Lacertidae.